Long non-coding RNA from Dreissena polymorpha, 355 nucleotides. RefSeq lists it as uncharacterized. The transcript has 3 exons. Lineage: Eukaryota; Metazoa; Mollusca; Bivalvia; Myida; Dreissenidae. The record is from RefSeq and is a predicted model, not a curated record.
GACGUGUGUUCUCGCCUCCAAACUGGAAAGUCACGGAGAACCCGGGAAAAUUCACAUCAGCCCCACGACAUAUCAGAUUCUUGUGAAUAAAGGAUUCUCAUUCGAAAAGCGGGGUAAAAUUGAGUUGAGAGGCUAUGGAAUGUUGGAGACCUAUUUCUUGUUGAAGAACGAUAUUCUGUCGGAGGACGACUUGCUCGGGCGUUCACACAACAAUCCGGAAGUGAUGUAUAUAAACGAAGGGCGUGUGGCGGGGCUGGCAUACGCCCGCAACAACCGAGUGUAUCCGAUCGCAGAGAGCACUUCCUCAGUCAGUAGCAGACCGUUGUCCGGUGAGAGCGGAUCCGGGUCGCUGCAG